GCAUCAGGAUGAGGGAAGGGCAAUGAAUGUUCUCUGUACAGUUGCAUGUUGCAUCAUCAGGAUUUCUUUUGAUAC
This is a non-coding RNA of Fusarium venenatum, 75 nucleotides long. The record is from RefSeq and is a predicted model, not a curated record. Lineage: Eukaryota; Fungi; Ascomycota; Sordariomycetes; Hypocreales; Nectriaceae.